UGGGGAAUAUUGCACAAUGGGGGAAACCCUGAUGCAGCGACGCCGCGUGAAGGAAGAAGGUCUUCGGAUCGUAAACUUCUAUCAGCAGGGAAGAAGGAAGUGACAGUACCUGAGUAAGAAGCCCCGGCUAACUACGUGCCAGCAGCCGCGGUAAUACGUAGGGGGCGAGCGUUAUCCGGAAUUACUGGGUGUAAAGGGUGCGUAGGCGGUAUGGCAAGUCAGUUGUGAAACCCCCUGGCUCAACCAGGGGCUUGCAAUUGAAACUGUCAUACUAGAGUGCAGGAGAGGAAAGCGGAAUUCCUAGUGUAGCGGUGAAAUGCGUAGAUAUUAGGAAGAACACCAGUGGCGAAGGCGGCUUUCUGGACUGUAACAGACGCUGAGGCACGAAAGCGUGGGGAGCGAACAGG
Molecule: ribosomal RNA, 407 nt
Filed under: uncultured bacterium
Lineage: Bacteria
Description: bacterial SSU rRNA
Rfam family: Bacterial small subunit ribosomal RNA
Source: RNAcentral